Molecule: ribosomal RNA, 581 nt
Filed under: uncultured bacterium
Lineage: Bacteria
Description: bacterial SSU rRNA
Rfam family: Archaeal small subunit ribosomal RNA
Source: RNAcentral
CUUGNUGCCAGCAGCCGCGGUAAUACCGGUGGCUCGAGUGGUGGCCGCUAUUAUUGGGUCUAAAGGGUCCGUAGCCCGGCUGAUAAGUUACCUGGGAAAUCCGGUGGCCUAACCAUCGGGCGGCCAGGUAAUACUAUCAGGCUCGGGACUAGGAGAGACCAGAGGUACUCAUGAGGUAGGAGUGAAAUCCUGUAAUCUUAUGAGGACCACCAGUGGUGAAGACGUCUGGUUAGAAUAGGUCCGACGGUGAGGGACGAAGGCUGGGGGCGCAAACCGGAUUAGAUACCCGGGUAGUCCCAGCAGUAAACGAUGCCAGCUAUGUGUUGCUGGAACCAUGGGUUCCAGCAGUGCCGAAGGGAAGCCGUGAAGCUGGCCACCUGGGAAGUACGGUCGCAAGGCUGAAACUUAAAGGAAUUGGCGGGGGAGUACCACAACCGGUGGAGCCUGCGGUUUAAUUGGAUACAACGCCGGGAAUCUUACCGGAGGGGACAGCAGGUAUGAAGGCCAGGCUAAGGACCUUGCCAGAUCAGCUGAGAGGAGGUGCAUGGCCGUCGCCAGUUCGUACCGUGAGGCAUCCUGUU